RNAcentral lists this ribosomal RNA (237 nucleotides) under uncultured bacterium. Its description in RNAcentral is "partial 16S ribosomal RNA". It matches the Rfam family "Bacterial small subunit ribosomal RNA", at positions 79 to 334 of the family's 1533-position model. The record is from RNAcentral.
UUAAAAUAGUCGGCGAGCGGCGGACGGCUGAGUAACGCGUGGGAACGUACCCCAAAGUGAGGGAUAACGCAUCGAAAGGUGUGCUAAUACCGCAUAUGGUCUUCGGAUUAAAGCCUCGGCGCUUGGGAACAGCCUGCGUAAGAUUAGAUAGUUGGUGGGGUAAUGGCCUACCAAGUCGACGAUCUUUAACUGGUUUGAGAGGAUGAUCAGUCAGACUGGAACUGAGACACGGUCCAG